UAUUUGCAGGAAGGUAUUUCUGUCUGUACCCCCUGCAGAGAUGCAAUGUAAGAAGCGUUUGGCUUUUGUUCAGCAGCUUCAAGUAUACAGACACUAAAGUGGAAAAAAACAUCACUAGAAAUACUGUGUAACUGGUUGGCAUCUUUGCCUUCCACAUUUCCUAAGGACACUUCGCCAUGGUUGCUUUUGUGAUGAAGAAGCAUUUGAAUACUCAUUUACUGGGCAAGCAUGGAGUUGGCACACCCAAAGAAAGACCUACCAGGAGGAAGAUGAGGAUGCAGGACAGGGAGCUGAACAUUUACAGCUCAAAUCCCAGGCAAAGACAAUUUCUAGGAACCCUGCUGUAAGACUUUGCUUUGGGGCUUUGUAACUGGAAGUAACUUUUUUCCCCUCUCAUUUAUUGUUGAUUUUUACUGUUCUGUAUAUGCUUUGUUCCUAAAACCGGUUGGGGAAAUUAGAGUCAUCUAUAGAAAAAGAUCCAUGGGUUUAUUGUAUUACUUAAAGAAGCGGCAUUUUUUUCUUUGUUUCAAAUUUUGCUACUACUCUGCUGUGGCAACUAAUUUGUUUUAUUUCCCCCAAAGACUGGCAGCACAAAAGACUUGCAGCGCCUCUAUUUAUUGUAUACUGUUUGAGUUUAUAAUAUUUUUCUAUAUAUACUUGUAAAUUAAAAUGAUUUAAAAAAUUCACAUUAGGUCUAAGGGCACAGUGAUUUUUUACAUUUGCUAUGUUUUCAAAGGAAUUAAAAUAUAACAGUGCAGUUAACAUCAAAUCAUAAUGAUAAUUUGUUAGUUAAAGGCUAUUUCAGUCUAUAAAACUUUGAUUACUUGGAAUUUAGCUGCGGUUUUAUGAGUUUUCCCAUAUGAUUGCCCACAAAUUUUUAUGUUGACUAAAUUGUAAAUUGUUUAAACUGUUCAAACAAAUUACUUAGCAAUUAAACCUUCAGCAAAAUUGUAAUUCAUUUUAAAUUUAGCACAGAGGUUUGAUGCUCUUUACUGAGGAAAAUAACUGAACAAAAUAGUGAAAUAUGUAAAUUCUGAAUCCUACAUGAACAGUCCCCCAUAGGACAAAACAUUCCCAACACUGUGGGUAUAGGAAAGCCUUCCAGUAAUGUGAAUUAAUUUUGCAGUAAAGGGUAGCUUGAGGAAAUUCCUGCUGCUGAAUAUCAUCCAGAUUUUAUGAUUUCAAAAUUUUUUCCCCACAGGGUGUUUUCUGUCUAAUUUUUAACACCUGAAGUCUUAAUAUUUAACCAUAAAGGAAUCAAUUGGAUGCAUAAUUCUUCUGUGUACCUAAGUGUGCCAGCAAAGUAACUGCAGGUGGAAAGAAUAGAACGCUUCAAGAAAAAAUAAAAAGGACGUAUUAAAUUAUUAAGUUUAUAAUUAACACUUAAACAACAAAAAAACUCAUUGCUAUCUCUGUUGUGUGUACGUAGUUGUGUAGAUUGCUUCGUAUACAAUGAUGGUUAGAUUCACUACCUUUAGAGCUAUAAAACAAAUAGAAGUGUAAACACAGAGCAGAUGCAUGAUUUUACAGAAGAAAACCUUACUCCCACUUAUCGUAUUUGAACUGCUUGUGUUUGUACACCUGUGGCUCAAUGGCAAUACACUUCAUAAACUGAAUUCUUGUUUUUGUGCCACUUACAGUGCUCAUUGUAGAGAAAUAAAGAUCAUUUCUAGAAUUCCAGAUCAUGGCCUUAUUUUUGUUGAUUGCCAUUGCUUGGUAUACUGUGUGCUCAAGCACAGUACAAUCAAGAUCAAGAAAAAGGUCCUCCUGGUGGUUUCUGAAAAUUCUAUACCAGGUCUCCAUCAACAAGCCAUCGUUGUGUAAGGUUUGCAUGGAGAUAACAUAGUGCUGUCAAUGGACAUCUCAGAACCUCAUGCAGGAAAUCAUUACCAUUUGUGAUUAAAGCAGCAGAGUGGCCCAGCUUCUGACACAUUAAACUGGCUUCUAUUCUGCUGUUAACUGAAAAAGGAAAAUAGUUGAAUCUGGUUUUAAAGUCACUCUUAACCAUUUAUAGCUAUAUUUGACUUCAUCAGUCAUGGACAAAGUCCUAUGAGGGAAUAAUAUUUUACUUCUACAACAAGGGAAUCCUAUAUUCCAUGAAUUUUAAGUUCCUUGCAAACAACUGUAUGUUAAUAAUAAAAAAGUGAUGUAGAACCAGUUUCUCAGACCACUGAGGUUUUUUUUUGUUUACGUAUUAGUUGACAUUUUGGCUUGGCAGGUCCGUUAGUGUUAGAGAGAACAUGAGGACAGACUGCAUAGAGGUCCUAGCACAAACUGAUUACUUUAUUAAUUGUUUUGAUUUACAGGUUGUGUAUAGCAAGUGCUUAUGCACAGAGUUACCUAAGAACCCACUUAUAUUUUUCUAAAGGAAAGAAAAACAUGAAAAUAUUUCCUAUCAUCUUGAAUCUCUAAAAUGUCUCAUAGUUCGUAUUUCAUAAAGUCACACAUCUGAGAAGUUGGCUUUUGCAAAACAAGCUCUCUGAUUAUCUGAUAUCCUCCGGAAGGUUAGGAGAGUUGUUUCCUAUAUUACUUAGGAAAAAAUUUCUUUUUACAAUUGAAAAUGUCAGCAUCAAUUUAAAGUAACACUAAGCAUGUGCUUGCUUUCUGAAUAUUAUCCUCCUCCACCUCCCCUCCAACCACCCUGCUGAGGAUCUGAGUGUGACAGUUUGAUUAGAUCAUCAAUCCUUACUGUUAACAGCACUUUUCCUGAACACCUGGGUUGCUAGGUCACAUCUGAGUUUAGCUACCGUUGUUUUAGUGACCUAACGUGCAUUCACCAUAGCAAUUUACAUUUGGUCCUCAAAUUAAAAGUUACCUUAGAACAACAGUUUGCUUUAAAAUGAACUUUGUUCUCAUGUGGAAAUUAUACUAUACGAUGUGAUAAAAACGAUAAACAAUGAAAAAGAUUUCUGUAUUUCAGUCAGUUACCUACAUUUACAGAGCUUUCACAUGAGCCUGUUUAGUCGAAGCCUCAGAACCAAAGCUUUAAUUACGAAUAUCUUAUGAACAUAAAUUUAAAUAUCUACCUAAUUCUCCAUCCGUCCAGAAGAAUGCUACUUAGCUUUAUAUUUCUCAUUUUGAAUUAACUGAAUUAUUCCAUAUUAAAUUAAAUCAAAUUUGUCAUAAACAUAAAGUCUUUGUACUUUUUCUUUCCUAAGAUCUACUCUUCCCUUGUUGGUACAAUCUGAUUCCUAUUUUCCCAUUUAUAGGGAAAAUAGCAGAAGUAAAUACCUACCAACAAUUUCAAUGAAAAUUGUUGAGCAUCAGACUGCAACAUGAGCAUACUAAUAAAUGUAGUCCUUACCAGCUUUUCCGGAUGCUACAGUGAUCCUUUGUUUUUCCUCUGAACUUUCCUUUGCUGUAGUGUGAAAUAUAGGAGAUGUAUUAACGUAUCAGAGCAAAAUUCAUGAAGCAAUUAGUUUAAAGUCAGUUUUGGCAGCUCCUUCUGUUUUUGAGGAAUUGAGUAAAAAUUAAAGUAAAUAAAUGAAAUGAGAAACACUGAAACACUGGAAUAACUCUUCAAUAGUAUACUGAAUAGUAAAAAACUACUGAUCAAUGCAAAUGUUUUGCUUAAUGGUAGAUAAGUAAGAUGGUUACAUUUAAUUUAAGAAUGUAUAUGAAAGUAAACUUUCUUCAUAUAACUUGUGUUAUAAUCAUUUAAGGGCAAGAUGCACGCUUCCUAGUUGUGCAUCUAUGGGAUUAGAUACCAAGUAGUUAUUUUUAAGAAGUUGGUCAGGCAUUAAGCAGAGAUCUGAAUUUUAACAUAAAACUACUAAGUUUCAGCUGUAUAAUACUGUUUUUUUUUUUCCCUCCUGUGGCAAGUCAGAUCAAAAUUAAUAAUGCAAUUACACAUUCUGGGCUGUUCAGCUGCCCAGUUAAAGCAGUAGAAAAUAUUAUUUGGAUCAGAACCAUAAAUGAAUCAUAAGUUUGCUUUUUAAACAAAAGUUCAGUUAGACAGGGUACUAAAAAAUAUAUUUUUAUAUAUACGAUACUAUACUUCAGGAGUGUUUACUGUGCCCUCUGAAAGACAGAUCCUACGGAAAGUGCCUGCUUCUGUUAAUCCACAGUCAGAACAUAUGCCAUAGUGGCUUCUGAAAAUUUAUGGUGAGAAUAAAGUACAGAACAUCCAUGCAAGACUAAAAAUUCUGUGGUACAUACUGUACAUUAUUUUCAAUACUAAUUCACAGCACAUGGUAAAAAGGCAUUUAGAAUGCAGAAAGUGCUGUUCAGUGUUCCACCAGAGUAACAGAAUAUAUGGUUAGUAACACGUUUGCAGGAGAAGUUACCAUAAAAUGAUUAUCAUAACAAAGAAUUCACUCCAACAGCAAUUCCUUAUCAAUGAUAUUAUGGAGAUAGAAAAUACCAGACCUUAAUAAAAGCAUGUUUGAUAUAUUCCUUGGAAAUAUGUGGGGAAAAAAUGUAACUUGUAAGAUUUGAUAUUCAUUUAUAUAUAUGUUUGUAUAUCUGUCAAUACUGGUGGAAUCUAUCAGUUAUAACCAUCUGAAUGCAUGCAAUUAGAAAACUGAAUUCUGAAACUUUUGGAGGCAGCUUUCACAUUCUCCGUGUUUGUUCACAAGCAUUUAUUUGUUUGUUUGUUUGAGACUGAGAUUGAAGUGCAACAACAUGAUAUUUUUUCCAUUUUAUUUGUGUUUUUUUUCCUUUCAUUGUUAUUUUUCCCAACCAGAGGAUAAGAUUUGGCCAUAAUCAUCAUUAUUAGUAUUUAUAUUGUUUUGUUUGGGUGGAGAGUGGGUGCCUUGAAUUACCAAUUCAAGCAAUUAUCAAUUUGCAAUUGCUUAUGGAGACUUUGUAGAUGAAAAAUAUUCUUUGGUUUACACUUGUUUUCUUAAACCCAAUUGUCUUGUUGUGAAUUCUGUUCCUACUGAA
Molecule: non-coding RNA, 4884 nt
Organism: Meleagris gallopavo (turkey)
Lineage: Eukaryota; Metazoa; Chordata; Aves; Galliformes; Phasianidae
Source: RefSeq, a predicted model, not a curated record